GAUGAACGCUGGCGGCGUGCCUAAUACAUGCAAGUCGAGCGAACGGACGAGAAGCUUGCUUCUCUGAUGUUAGCGGCGGACGGGUGAGUAACACGUGGAUAACCUACCUAUAAGACUGGGAUAACUUCGGGAAACCGGAGCUAAUACCGGAUAAUAUUUUGAACCGCAUGGUUCAAAAGUGAAAGACGGUCUUGCUGUCACUUAUAGAUGGAUCCGCGCUGCAUUAGCUAGUUGGUAAGGUAACGGCUUACCAAGGCAACGAUGCAUAGCCGACCUGAGAGGGUGAUCGGCCACACUGGAACUGAGACACGGUCCAGACUCCUACGGGAGGCAGCAGUAGGGAAUCUUCCGCAAAGGGCGAAAGCCUGACGGAGCAACGCCGAGUGAGUGAUGAAGGUCUUCGGAUCGUAAAACUCUGUUAUUAGGGAAGAACAUAUGUGUAAGUAACUGUGCACAUCUUGACGGUACCUAAUCAGAAAGCCACGGCUAACUACGUG
This 497-nucleotide ribosomal RNA is filed under the name uncultured bacterium. Its description in RNAcentral is "partial 16S ribosomal RNA". It matches the Rfam family "Bacterial small subunit ribosomal RNA", at positions 28 to 507 of the family's 1533-position model. The record is from RNAcentral.